UACAGAGGUCUCAAGCGUUGUUCGGAUUCAUUGGGCGUAAAGGGUGCGUAGGCGGCGCGGUAAGUCGGGUGUGAAAUCUCGGAGCUUAACUCCGAAACUCGCAUUCGAUACUGCCGUGCUUGAGGACUGGAGAGGGAGACUGGAAUUUACGGUGUAGCGGUGAAAUGCGUAGAUAUCGGGAAGAACACCCGUGGCGAAGGCGGUUCUCUGGGACGGUACUGACGCUGAGACGCGAAAGCGUGGGGAGCGAACAGG
Molecule: ribosomal RNA, 255 nt
Filed under: uncultured bacterium
Lineage: Bacteria
Description: partial 16S ribosomal RNA
Rfam family: Bacterial small subunit ribosomal RNA
Source: RNAcentral